This 413-nucleotide ribosomal RNA is filed under the name uncultured prokaryote. RNAcentral's name for it is "bacterial SSU rRNA". It matches the Rfam family "Bacterial small subunit ribosomal RNA", at positions 505 to 918 of the family's 1533-position model. The record is from RNAcentral.
GUGUCAGCAGCCGCGGUAAUACGAAAGGGGCUAGCGUUGUUCGGAAUUACUGGGCGUAAAGCGCACGUAGGCGGCCUUGUAAGUUGGGGGUGAAAUCCCGGGGCUCAACUCCGGAACUGCCUUCAAGACUGCAAAGCUAGAGGACGCGAGAGGUUAGCGGAAUUCCGAGUGUAGAGGUGAAAUUCGUAGAUAUUCGGAAGAACACCAGUGGCGAAGGCGGCUAACUGGCGCGUUUCUGACGCUGAGGUGAGAAAGCGUGGGGAGCAAACAGGAUUAGAUACCCUGGUAGUCCACGCCGUAAACGAUGAGUGCUAGUUGUCGGCAUGCAUGCAUGUCGGUGACGCAGCUAACGCGUUAAGCACUCCGCCUGGGGAGUACGGCCGCAAGGUUAAAACUUAAAGGAAUUGGCGGGG